RNAcentral lists this ribosomal RNA (274 nucleotides) under uncultured bacterium. RNAcentral describes it as "partial 16S ribosomal RNA". It matches the Rfam family "Bacterial small subunit ribosomal RNA", at positions 523 to 796 of the family's 1533-position model. The record is from RNAcentral.
AUACGGAGGGUGCAAGCGUUGUUCGGAAUCACUGGGCGUAAAGGGCGCGCAGGCGGUUUGGUAAGUCAGAUGUGAAAGCCCACGGCUCAACCGUGGAAGUGCAUUUGAAACUGUCAGACUUGAGUACCAGAGGGGAAAGUGGAAUUCCCGGUGUAGAGGUGAAAUUCGUAGAUAUCGGGAGGAAUACCGGUGGCGAAGGCGACUUUCUGGCUGGAUACUGACGCUGAGGCGCGAAAGCGUGGGGAGCAAACAGGAUUAGAUACCCUUGUAGUCC